Molecule: long non-coding RNA, 11935 nt
Organism: Oncorhynchus masou masou (cherry salmon)
Lineage: Eukaryota; Metazoa; Chordata; Actinopteri; Salmoniformes; Salmonidae
Exons: 2
Source: RefSeq, a predicted model, not a curated record
GGUCGCAAAGGGUGACAUUUUAUCAACAAGGCUGCAUUUUCAGCACGUCCGAAAAAUAUAUAAAAGACAUUGAUUUUAGCAUUGGCAAAUUGGUUUAGUCGCGUAGUGAGGAGCCGAUAAAAACGUAGCUAAAUUCAGAAACAUAUUUUGGGGAAUUCUGAAAUGUAUUGGAAUAAAUGACCAAACUAUAAAACCAGCUAGCCAGCUAUCGGUAACUGUAGCUAGCUAGCACUCCUGUCAGGUAGCAAUGUUAGAUUACCAGGGUUGCGUUCCACACACUUAAAAGACACACCCUCGUCCACUUUCCCUCGCCCUAUGCCCUUGGCGUAAUCCCCAUCUUGGAGGGCAGUCCAAAUGAUUAGCAAAGCAAGGGAAGUUUGCAACGUAACCCCCUCAGCCCUCGUUGUUAGUCAGCUUUGCAAGUGUACAAUUAUGUUUUCUCCGUGGCCUGAAACUCCCCAUAAUUCAAUUCGCAGCGAUUGUACAUCCGCUAAGAAAAGUCAGCAAAAAAACAUCAAUGGAGAAGUCAACAUACAAGUAUUACUCCGUGCAAAUCUCCACCCUCCAAAAAACCCAACAUGAACUCUGACAUCGUGGCUACCCUCUCCUUACUCAUCAACUCCAGAUGUGACGCCAUUGAGAAAAUGGUAGGCGCGAACACCAUGGUUAUCGUUGGCUUGAAAAAGACUGGAGUUUGCAUGUGGUGAAAUCAAGUAUAUGAAAACGAGUGUGCCAAAAGUUGAAAAAAGUGUGGAAAGGGUGGGAAAUAAUAACAAUGUCUACCAUAGACGUCUCAAUUAUCUGGAACAAUACACAAGAAGAUGGAACCUGAGACUCUACGGCUUGCCAGAGGUGGAGAAUGAAGAUGUGCGAGGAGAGGCUAUCCGCAUCUGCCAAGACGUUAUGCCUGCAGAGAAGAACAAAGUUGGUGAUACCAUCGAUGUUGUGCAUCGCCUCGGCAAGAAGCAACAGCAAAACGAUUCAAGACCUAGGGGUAUCAUCAUCCUCUUCACUGCCAGAUUCUACAGGGAUUGCUGUCUGGAAAGCUGCUAGGAAGAACGCCUUCCUUCAGAGCCGUGGUAUGCGUUUCGCCGAGCAUCUCAGCCCGGAGUACAUAGAAAGAAGGAACAAGUUGUGGCCAACGAUCAAGAUAGCAUGAAAUGAGGGAAAGGCUGCUUACUUCGUCGGAGGACGAGGCUUCAUCAACGGUUCAGAAAUCCAUAUUCCUCCCAUGGUUUCAGCCAAUGGUAUUCUCAUUUUCCUUAUGUUGUUUACCUAACAAGCAUCAGGUGACUAUUUUUCAGGAAUACUCCGGUAUUUCAAUUUAUUAGUUUAUUCUUGUAUGAUCAGAAGACCUAUUUUGUUUACAAACUUACGAAGAAGAUUGAAAGCUGUAUUUAUUUUAUGUAUACAAUAACUAAGAUACUGUUUUAAAGGGCAUACAGGUCUGCUCUGACUUUACACAGUUAUUGUUCUAUUUAGUUAUUAGUACUUUAUUCCAAAAAAGGUCUUAGGACCUUAGGAAUGUGUAUAUAGGAACGUGUAAAUGUAAAACAUUUUUUAUUCAAUUUUUUUUAUGAUCAGUUUUCAUAUGCACUUAAAAUAGUAAGUACCCUUUCAUAUAAAUUAUUAUUUGUUAUUUUAUUUCUCAGAAUAGUUCCUGAUUACACUGAAGAGGGUCUUUAGUCUCUCUUACGACAAGAACCCCUGCUUUGGUCUUGAACAUAAUUUUCAGUUGAGUUGAAUUUCAAUCCCGGAUAACGUCUAGCUCAAAGGUUAAGGAAUAAGCUAUUUUCACUUUAAAUUGACAUAAAUGGUGCAGAUCUAGGUUCCUUAUCGUUUACGUUCACUGCUCCUACAUCUAUGACUCAUCCUACUACAGUUUAUACUUUUAUAUAAUCUUUGUUGUUUUGUCUUUGUCUAUGGUUUCUCUUAAUGCUAGGGGGUUACGAAACAAUGAAGCGCAAGGCCUUAUUUUUAUUUGCUAAACAAUUUCGAACAGAUUUUUGCUUUUUUCAAGAGUCACUCAAUUUCAGCUGAUGCCAACUUCUGGAGGUCACAGUGGGGCAACGAUAUUGGGCUUUCCCAUGGAUCUCAACGCUCCGCUGGUGUCACUACAAUGAAAAAUACCUUUGGUGGUAAUAUUCUACACUCGGAAUGUGACCCCUUUGGUCACUUUAUUUGUCUUGUGAUCAGUUACAAUGAUAUUACACUCAUUACUGUAAACUUCUACGGGUACAACACCAAACAUGAGAAUGAGGAGUUGUUUGAAUCUAUAGAGAAACAUAUACUUCAUUGGUUAUCUAAAUUUCCCAAAUCGUUAUUAUUGAUAGGAGGGGACUUUAACAUUACUAUAGAUAAUUCAACUGAUAGAUGGCCCCCCAGGUAGGCCAACCAAUCAGAAUUUGGGUUUAAUACUUUUUAUGGAAAAGUUUGAUCUUACUGAUAUAUGGAGAGAGAGGUUUCCGGCAGACAGAUCAUUCACUUGGAGUAACAAAACAGGCUCCAGACAAUCCAGAAUAGAUUGUUGGCUUAUAUCCAAAUGUAUUGAUAGUGAGUGUGUUACUACACAUAUUUGUACUACUCCCCUCACAGACCAUAGGGCUAUUUACAUUGAUAUCAAAAUAUUUACCCCUGAUACUAACCUUGGUAGAACAUCCUACUGGAAGCUAAAUAGCUCAUUAUUAAAUAAUGAUAUAGUUAAAUUUGAAGGGUUAAAGAUCUGCUCUCACACUUUUGGGAAAGGGCUUGUGAAGAAAACUCUUAUUGCAAGAACUGGGAGCUCUUUAAAUUUGAGGUGUCCAAAUACUUUAGGAAAUAUGGUAGUAAUCUUGCUAAGACCAGAAGAGCUGAGGAGGAAAAGGUGAGCUCAGGGGUCCCCAGCCGACCUCUCGGGGGAGGAGAAGAUGGAACUAAUAGAGUUAUAAAAUAAACUGGAUAGUAUAUAUAAAUUAAAAGCAGAAGGAGCCUUUAUUAGAUCUAGGAAAAAAUAGAUUGAGGGAGAACAGAAUUAAUCCUAUUUCUUUAGACUUGAGAAAUUUCACUCUAAAAAUAACACUAUCCAUAAGUUAAACAUUGAUGGUGUUAUUACAGAUGACCAAAAAUGUAUCGCUAAAUACUGUAGCAAUUUUUACAGAAAAUUGUAUAGCUCUAUGUACUGUCAGGAAUCCACAGAUAUGGUUUUUAACUCACUGAAUAAUGUUCACUCUAUAAGUGAUAUAAAUUUAAACAGUGUGAUGAACCCAUCAAAGUUGAAUAAAUUAUAGUCUAUCAAACAUCUAAAGACCAAUAAAUCACCAGGUGUUGAAGGAAUUACAUCAGAAUUUUACAAAUUAUUUUCUGAACAAGUAGCUCCCUUUCUAUUUGAAGUCUUUUUAGAGAGUAUUAAAAACAAUGUUCUCCCUCCUACAAUGAGUUAAUAACACUGAUACCUAAGCCUAAAAAAGAAGUGCUGCUCAUUGAUAACUGGUGUCCAAUUUGUCUUCUUAAUAAUGACUAUAAGAUAUUAGCCUUACUACUUGCAAAAGUAAUUAAAGAAGUCCUGGAUGCAAUCAUUGAUGAAACACUGUCUGGCUUCAUGAGGAACAGACAUAUUUGGCUGCUGUGGUGAUAUGAUGCUGGGGAAUAUGAUGCUUUUCCUAAUUGAAAUACAAAUUACAUGAAUAAAGGGGCUUGUUUCUCCUCUGAUAUUCCAUCAGUAUUGAGAAGGACAGAAUACAUCCUCAAAUUGAUUUGUUCAUGAAUAAUGCUGCAAUUACUUGUAUUUGGAAUCUUGGCACCUUAAAGUAGAGUCUGUGUUAUAGAAAAGUACAUUUGGAAAUUGACCAUGAAAGCUGAUUAUGGAUCGGAAAUGGAACGUCGCAUAUAAUCAAGUAUUUAAAAAAAACUAUUUUACAUACCAAUCCACUGGCACCGCAAUGUUUUCAGGGUUGGAUAUAAGCUCCUGGGACUGGUGGUGCGACUGGAAGAAAAUAUUUUAAGCCAGCUACUCUAACGUCCACUGGCACCUCAAUGUUUUCAUGUUACAUCUGUGCCGUCUCCCAAUUGUCUAGACCAGUGAAUAAUAAGGUAGAGGCUUGAAUUAUCCCGCAAAGCACUGCCUUUCACAUCAGGCAAGUUAAUUACACCAACAGUUCAAAUGAGAGUAUAUCAGAGACAUAAAUUAGGCCAAAUUACCUGCUCCAUUCAUGAACUUAAAGCAGCUUCUGUCCCAGGUGCUGUCUGGUGGCAUACACUUGAUGGCUAAAUUGUUUAAUUUGUUAUUUUUUCUGCGGCUGAGCGGUGGCCAAUAACAGAUGUUAUCUUUGAUCCCUACUUGUGGAACUACUGCAUAUGGUUUGUUCUAUUCAUCCAGAAACUGAAUCACUACAAACUUCAUGAUCUAAAGACAGGAGAGAAAGAGGAAGAACUAAGCAUAAAGACCACUUACAAUUUAAUAAAUAAAAACUUACACUACAAUCAUACAAUGAAACCCUAAGAUAUUUACCUUGUGAGAGGCGAACAGAAAUAAACAGGGCAAGGCCAUGUCUACAAGUGGCUCAGUGGAAAGCCAGCAUAUCCAUCUUGGCAAGGAAGAAGAUAGUAUUUCUUUAGCACAUUUGUAGAGUUGGUGAAGCAAGCACCUCCAGAGAGGUGAAAAAUGCCUGUCUUGGAAAAUGGUAAAGGGUAGGUGAAGAAAUCGACCAUGUUCCUGAACCUAUUGUAGAUGCCGAAAUUGUUGCCCAUUUCAUCGACGACCACAUUCUGUACAACAGCAAUGUCCUGGUUUUGUAACAGGACACAGUUGUCUCCCUCUGACCUUUUCACAGCAAAUUCUCCAAAGUAAAACUUCUCGAACUGAUAUGUCACUGCUGUUGUGCUCUCUCAGGGACAGUGCUUUGGAGGUGUUCAUUCUUCAGUAUAGUUUCUUCUCUGACAGAUGACGAACAACCUGCACCAGUGGGUGUGCAGGUUUGCAAAGCAGUCUCUUCAUUUGCCCAAGGAAGUUUUCAAAUGGGAAACACAAUAUUUUGUCAAGGGCACCAUACUUCUUGGAUUCUUGGCGAAGGUGCACCAAUCCAUACAUGUUCUAUGUCACCUGCUGUUUUCCAUAAAGUUUGCUGCAGUGGUCAACAAACAAAACCAUGAGGCUAUGGGUAAAUUCAGCUUGAUCUGCGCACAGGGACACGUUCAACAGGAUGGUGAUGGCAACUGCAAGAAGCAUGUAGUUGUGGAACACUCUUUAAAAAAAGGUGCUAUCUAGAACCUUUAAGGGUUCUUCAGCUGUCCCCAUAGGAGAACCCUUUGAAUAUCCCUUUUUGGUUCCAGGCAUAACUGUUUUGGGUUUCAUGUAGAACCCUUUUUUUCUAAGAGUGUACACGAGUUGGUACAAGCCCUUUCAAGCUGACUGGUCCAGUGUACAGGAGGCACUGUCUGAAUUUAGUAGCUUUCCAGGGCUCAACUCUCUGGAUUUUUGCUUCCUGUUGAACUCACAUGGAACAUGAGGUCAGGAGUACUUUGGAGAUGUCCUUUACCAUACUGGGUGCCGAUCUUCUUGCCAAAUGUCCUUUUAUCCAAAGAUUCAACAAUUUCCUUGUCACUCCUAGGCACACCAGAUGCAUGUAUUUCAGUGAGAACUGUGUCACCGAUCCAACAGACUGCAAAGCAAAUAGUGGUUCUCCACACCGAUGGCUGUCAUCUGAGAGUUCAUCGGGGACUGCAGUGUCCAAUCUCAGAGUUGCAUCUGUUUGAGGGAAAGUCAUUCUGUUCUCGUAGUAGACCCCUUUUCGUGUGCACUUGUCACAUCCAUAGUAUCCGCUAUGGCCCUUAACAUUUUUCACAAGUGCACGAGCAGGGGUGUCACAGAUAAACGCCGACAUCUUGAAAGAAAGCUGUGUCCCUUCAAACUCCUUCCCUUUCCAGUCGCUGUGCCUCCUCAACGAAAAUAUUUAAAAAACUGGAGACUGUUUGGCUUCUUCUUCCCAAAGUAAAGACCAAUAAUAAAUGGGAGUUUGUUUUGCUAGACAUUGUCCACGUAUUGCUCAAUUAAUCAAAGGAUUGGCCAGAACUAGGCAUUUGAACGUCUGUAAUUUUUAUCAUAGGUACACUUCAACUGUGAGAGACGGAAUCUAAAACAAAAAUCCAGAAAAUCAUAUUGUAUGAUUUUUAAAUAAUUAAUUAGCAUUUUAUUGCAUAAGUAUUUGAUACAUCAGAAAAGCAGAACUUAAUAUUUGGUACAGAAACCUUUGUUUGCAAUUACAGAGAUCAUACGUUUCCUGUCGUUCUUGACCAGGUUUGCACACACUGCAGCAGGGAUUUUGGCCCACUCCUCCAUACAGACCUUUUCCAGAUCAUUCAGGUUUCGGGGCUGUCGCUGGGCAAUACAAACUUUCAGCUCCCUCCAAAGAUUUUCUAUUGGGUUCAGGUCUGGAGACUGGCCAGGCCAUUCCAGGACCCUGAGAUGCUUCUUAUGGCGCCACUCCUUAGUUGCCCUGGCUGUGUGUUUCGGGUCAUUGUCAUGCUGGAAGACUCAGCCACGACCCAUCUUCAAUGCUCUUACUGAGGGAAGGAGGUUGUUGGCCAAGAUCUUGCGAUACAUGGCCCCAUCCAUCCUCCCCUCAAUACGGUGCAGCCGUCCUGUCCCCUUUGCAGAAAAGCAUCCCCCCAAAAAUGAUGUUUCCACCUCCAUGCUUCACGGUCGGGAUGGUGUUCUUGGGGUUGUACUCAUCCUUCUUCUCCUCCAAACACAGUGAGUGGAGUUUAGACCAAAAAGCUCUAUUUGUCUCAUCAGACCACAUGACCUUCUCCCAUUCCUCCUCUGGAUCAUUCAGAUGGUCAUUGGCAAACUUCAGACGGGCCUGGACAUGCGCUGGCUUGAGCAGGGGGACCUUGUGUGUGCUGCAGGAUUUUAAUCCAUGAUGGCGUAAUGUGUUACUAAUGGUUUUCUUUGAGACUGUGGUCCCAGCUCUCUUCAGGUCAUUGACCAGGUCCUGCCGUUUAGUUCUGGGCUGAUCCCUCACCUUCCUCAUGAUCAUUGAUGCCCCACGAGGUGAGAUCUUGCAUGGAGCCCCAGACCGAGGGUGAUUGACCGUCAUCUUGAACUUCUUCGAUUUUCUAAUAAUUGCGCCAACAGUUGUUGCCUUCUCACCAAGCUGCUUGCCUAUUGUCCUGUAGCCCAUCCCAGCCUUGUGCAGGUCUACAAUUUUAUCCCUGAUGUCUUUACACAGCUCUCUGGUCUUGGCCAUUGUGGAGAGGUUGGAGUCUGUUUGAUUGAGUGUGUGGACAGGUGUCUUUUAUGCAGGUAACGAGUUCAAACAGGUGCAGUUAAUAACGGUAAUGAGUGGAGAACAGGAGGGUUUCUUAUAGAAAAACUAACAGGUCUUUGAGAGCUGGAAUUCUUACUGGUUGGUAGGUGAUCAAAUACUUAUGUCAUGCAAUAAAAUGCAAAUUAAUGAUUUAAAAAUCAUACAAUGUGAUUUUCUGGAUUUUUGCUUUAGAUUCCGUCUCUCACAGUUGAAGUGUACCUAUCAUAAAAAUUACAGACCUCUACAUGCUUUGUAAGUAGGUUGUUCUCCCCACUGUAUACCACCAGAAAGUUAUUUUUAUUUGGGGGGUUGGGGGGGGUAGUCUGUGUCUUCAGAAGGUUCUUGGGUCUUUAGGCAAGUUUGGAUGGUCAUUGAAGAAGAUAAUUGUCAAUAGCUUCGAGAGUGCAAUGUGAGGAAUCAUUUUUGUCAAUAACCCAAUAUGCCAAAUGUGUCCUAAAAUCCCCCUCUUCCUCUUUGCUAUCUUCUAUGGUGCUUGAGGGAAUGUCAGAAGGGGGGUCAAAAUCAGCAUCUUCUAAACAGGGGUUGGUGUGCCACAUUGAUUGCACUUUGCCCAUGGCCUAUUGGAUCCAAGCCAUGAUGACUUUCACUUUGAAGAGCAUGUGCCCCAAUGGUCCAGUCCGGAAGAGCAGCAGCCAAACCAGCAGUGGCGGGGGCUAAACUGGCAGCUCCUGUAUGUCCUUCUGAACUCCCCUCACUAUUCUCCUCCUUUUAGUCCAGUAACUUGACAUGGUUAACGUACCUUUCACUUAAAGCACAAAGGUAAGGCUUGUCUGUAGGAUAAACAACAUAUUUUUGUGAAAUGUUUUGAGCAUUUUGAGGGUAUAAAGUUUAUUUUGAUUGGUCCACGGCAAAGAAUUGUCUCCCAACGUCAGCAUAUGUCAGAGAAACAACCAGCGGCGUCUAAACUAACAACGGUCACAACAAACUAACGCUCUUAUUUAAUCAACACUGUUAAUUACAAGCAUAUUACGGUUAUAAUAUUGCAGAGAACAAUCUAAUUAUUAUACUGAACAAAAAUAUAAAAGAAACAUGCAACAAUUUAAAAUAUUUUACUGAGUUACAGGUCAUAUAAGGAAAUCACUCACUUGAAAUACAUUCAUUAGGCCCUAAUCUAUGGAUUUCACAUGACUGGUGUCACGCCCUGAUCUGUUUCACCUGUCCUUGUGAUUGUCUCCACGCCCUCCAGGUGUCGCUUAUUUUCCCUGGUGUAUUUAUCCCUGUGUUUCCUGUCUCUCUGUGCCAGUUCGUCUUGUAUGUUCAAGUCAACCAGCGUGGUUUUCCCAUGCGCCUGCUUUUCUAGUCUCUUUUACUAGUCCUCCCGGUGUUGAACUUUGCCUGUUUUUCUGGACUCUAUUCUGGACUCCUGACCUCGAGCCUGCCUGCCUGCCAUUCUGUACCUCUGGACUGGUUCUGACCUUUUGCCUGUCCAUGCCCAUUCUCUUGCUUACCCCUUUUGGAUUGUUAAUUCCAGUCUUGGACUCUAACCAUCUGCCCCCUGUGUCUGGGUCUUGCCAUGUGCCCUUAUAACUGGGAAUACAGAUAUGCAUCUGUUGGUCACAUAUCUUUUUUUUAAAUGUAUGGACAUGGUUUAGAAAACCAGUCAGUAUCUGGUGUGACCACCAUUUUACCUCGUGCAGCACAACUUCUCCUAUGCAUAGAGUUGAUCAGGCUGUUGAUUGUAACCUGUGGAAUUAUGUCCCAUUCUUCAAUGGCUGUGCGAAGUUGCUGGAUAUUGGCGGAACUGGAACAUGCACUCAUACAUGUCAAUCCAAAGCAUCCUACACAUUCUCAAUGGUUAACAUGUCUGGUGAGUAUGCAGGCCAUGGACAGAACUGGGACAUUUUCAGCUUCCAGGAAUUGUGUACUGAUCCUUGUGAUAUGGGGCCAUGCAUUAUCAUGCUGAAAGAUGAGGUGAUGGGGGUGGAUGAAUGGCACGAUAAUGGGCCUCAGGACCACGCCACGGUUUCUCUGUGCAUUCAGAUUGCCAUUGAUCAAAUGUGUUUGUUGUCCGAUGCUUAUGCCUGCCCAUAUCAUAACCCCACCUCCACCAUGGGGCACUCCGUUCACAACGUUGACAUCAGCAAACCGCUCGCCCACACGACACUAUACACGUGAUCUGCUGUUUUGAGGCCAGUUGAACGUACUGUCAAAUUCUCUAAAAUAAUGCUAGAGGCAGCUUAUGGUAGAGAAAUGAAUUAUUUGGCAACCGCUCUGGUGGACGUUCCUGCAGUCAGCAUGCCAAUUGUGUGUUCCCUCAACUUGAGACAGCUGUGACGUUGUGACAAGACUGCACAUUUUAGAGUGGCACCUGUGUAAUGAUCAUGGUGUAUAAUCAGCUUCUUGAUAUGCCACACCUGUCAGGUGGAUGGAUUAGCUUGGCAAAGGAGAAAUGCUCAUUAACAGGGAUGUAAAGGAGUAUGUGCACAGAAUUUGAGAGAAAUAAGCUUUUUGUGUUUAUGGAACAUUUCCAGGAUCUUUUAUUUCAGUUCAUGAGACAUGGGACCAACACUUGUUGUGUUUACAUUUUUGUACAGUAUAGUUUGGAAGGGGGUCACCCCCUAACCCUCACCCUCUUUUCCCUAGCCAACCCAUUUCUGGAGUUUUGAUUAGUAAACAGGAUGUUUCUCUCUCUCUCUCUCCUCCACGCUCUGUGAUUGUAUCAAAUGUCUGUAUAGGCCCGAGACUGAGCUUUGCUGCGUUCUAGACUUGAAACUCUUUGAUAGCAUCUCACUCAGUGGGCUCUGACUGGUAGUAGGGGACAGUGUUUAUCUCCUGUUGUGUGCACUUAAAUGAAUGUUAAUUAGGAUAACGCGGCAGAGAUAGAGGCUUGUCAGGAGAGCAGGAUGGGAUGUCUGUCUGCUGGGUAGAGGCUUGAGGGCUUAGUUUGACAGAAUGGGGCCAUUUACAUUUACGACAAUGUCCGAUAUGGAGCAAUUUGUAAUUAUAUGAAUUGUGUCACUUUGCUGUUGAUCUCACUUCUGAAGGUUUUGAGAGGCUUCAUGAUGGUAAUGGGCCUAGAUGAUCAACCAAAGUUAAAAUAAGCCAAAAGCUGACUAUGGGCAAUUCCACGGUAACAGAGUUUUCACUUAAAAUGUAUGCCAAACAAAACCCAUUGCCUGCAAAGUUUAACACAACUCGAUGCACAAGGAAUACUUUAACAAUUUACACUGAACAUUUUACAAAAUACAUUUACUGGAAGAACUUGGUAACAGAAUUUAAAAUUUAAAAUCUCCCUCAGUUUGUUUGGUGUCCACGUUUUUUUGAAAAAACUGUUAAUUGUUUCUGUACCGAAUUAAGUUUUAACAAGGUUUUCAGAAAGAAUGGCGUGUCAGCUAUGACAUCCGCUUGGGACGCAGCUAUGACACGUGUAGAAUGUAUGUGAAACAGCACAGAUGAAAAAUAUAUGGCACAUGGAAAUCAUAAGAGGGCAGUUUACGGAGAUAGGUGGGAUGGACUGAAAAUAGCUGAAUGGAGGGUUUAUAUAGUUAUGACUGAAAACACAAUGUAUAAUAUACAAGUACUAUCUCUCUAGAUGUUAUGUAUAUCAAAAUAUUUUAUUCUUCCUGUGUAACUACUGUAAAUAAAAUCUAAUGUCUGUAGACUGUACAUGUAACAACAGAAAAAGCUGUAAAAAUAACAUUUAUGUUUGUACUCUGAAGAAGAAAAAGACCUUUGCAGAGCCUACCCAGACAUAGAAUGUUUGUUGCACUGUGAUCCCAAUGUAAAUGUCAAGCGUGUUUAGAUGUUACUCACUGGAGUUGAUGUCUGGUUCUGUGUACUGGCCUUUUUUCUAGCAGUUGGACCACCUGGUUACAUGUGACACUAAGACCAGGGUUAGAUGAAGUUGCUUUAAAUCAGGCCAAAACUUUGACUACAGUUAUGCCAGAAUCCACUCAGUGGCUGGAUUCUCAUGUUCAGUAUAACAGACCCAGACCAAAUGAAAUAAAAGUACCACGAUUCAAUUUACAGGGUCAUAAAUAAUCAUUAGACUCACUGUAACAGAGGUUGACAUUUCAUCUCUAAUAUAGUAUUUAGAGUUCAAUUUCAUUACAUACAUUGUUAAUUUAGUUUCUAAUAAAGAAUCUUGUAAAAAAAAAUAUUGAUAUUGAUAUUAAACAGACACAAAGAAUGGUGUCAUAUGACACACUGACUAAAACAAAUCUCUUUAGGUUAUUGAACUACAGUAAAUUAAGUGGAUUUAUACCUGGGAACGGAAUUGCCGUAACAGAAUUUUAUCAUGUGUCCCUGAUCUGUACUACACAGAAACGCAUAAUUAUGGAGAUGAAUGUCAUUAUUUUAAUGGAUAUGAGCUCUGGCCACAAACAAAACCAUAUUUGGUCCGGACCAAAUCUGAACCAAGUUUGGACAUCAAAGUACAACACAGAGUACAGUACAUUAUAGUUUACUCAACUUGUUUGCUCUACUGUGUACUGUACUGAACUAUACUCUACUUUUCUUCACUGUACUGUGCUGUCUGAAUUUGUGAACCCAACUGUGGUUUGUGACUACUAUGAUUUCCCAUUGUAGCCAAUUCAAUUGCUGAAAUUCCAUUACCGAUUUUGGUAACGGAAUAUCGAGUUAGCAAUUUUAUGAAUUGUUAAUUGAUUAUCAGUAAAAAUCGGUCUACCGUG